UGGAGCAGUCCGGCUCUUUUCUUGCGGCGCUGCGCGCCCCGGCCGUUUAAGCCUCAUGCCGUAACCCUUCCGUCCGGCUGCCCCGUUGAAGUUACAACAAACUGGCGAUGAGGUAAACCGCUCACUUUACGUUUACGGCCCCUUGCCUUUCGAUUUCUGCUGCUCCCCUCCUUCAGGCAUGCAAGACGCUACGUCCACUUCGGCGACGUCCACCGCAACGCCCCCGCCUUUGUUCUCCGUGCCCAGCAUGGCGUUCGCACCACCCAUGCCGCCUUUCCUUGCAUUACCCGGUACUCCUUCGGUACCGUGGCUCACAUGGAAACGUUCUUUUUUCACGUUUCUUCAGGCGACCGGAUGCGAAGCAUUACAAGAUGACAGGAAGAAGGCCAUUUUACUGAGCAACUUAGGCUUCGAGGGGCAGCGUCUAUACUAUGACCUCGCGUCGCAAGCGGACCAGACGGCCGCUACGAAAGCUCAAAUGCCCUGGUGCACCGCAUUAUCUUCCGGGACAGGAAGCAACUACCCGGGGAAACCUUCCAGGACUUCGUCACCGCGCUACAAAGGCCAGCGCCUGCUUGCGCGUUCGGAGCUUGGCACGACGAGUCUCUUCGCGACCAAAUUCUCCAAGGCGUUGCAUCAAAAAGAAUUCGAGAACGGCUACUGUACGAAGGAUCGUCCCUCACGCUCAAGAAAGCCGAGGAAAUCGGACGAAGCGUGGAGCAAGUUGACAAGGAACUUGCAGUCUUCAGCACCUCGUCUAUUCAGCGCGUCUCGACGCAACGCCAAGAUGGCGUCGCCGGCCAUCUCCUUCCUCGCCCGGGCGCGCAAGAUGGCGGUCACCGCCCCCCUUCUUUCUCGACCCGGCGUCUUCAAGAUGGCGAUCAACGGCGUGGCGGGCAGUCGCAUCGAGCGGCCGGCCAACAUGACGUCCGGCCCGAACUCUGCGAAGCCACUGGAGAACUCGCACCCCAAUUUUACCGAUGUGGUUCACCUCGCCACAUCGCAUCCGAUCCAGCCUGUCCGGCAAAGCACGUUACCUGCCGUGCGUGCGGAAAAGCGGGACAUUACGCUUCGGUUUGCCGUUCGAGGAACCGAACGCAGCGACAGCCUCCUGCUCGAACGCAGCUUGUUUCCGUUACUGCUGAUGCAGAAUCAGCCUCUACAGUCCCGUUUGUGCUUACCACUCAAGCACCGAAUAUCCAACCGGCAACAAUUCGCGCCGAAGUUCUCAUUGCGAAUACUAGACUCAACUUGCUCGCGGACACAGGAGCUACAGUGUCGCUGAUGAACAGCUCCCUAUACGAAGAACAUUUCAAGGUUUUUCCUUUAUCUCCUUCGAGUCUUCGACUCAAGAAUUAUUCGCAGCAAGAAAUUCUGCAUUCAGGACGCUUCUCCGUGCUCGUCAAGUAUCGCAACAACGCUGCAGUAGUGACAUUUCACGUCAUGAACCAAGGCACUUUUCUUCUGGGCUUAGAUGCCAUUCAAGCUUUGGGCAUUGACAUUCAAGGGUCUUCGCUCACAUGUCAAGUAUCGGGACUUCCAGCUGACCCAAGCGUUCAGCCUCCGUCUCUCCCGCACAACGCUCCAACAGAGUUCGCCCAUCUGUUCUCGGGACAAUUGGGACUUGUCAAGGGCUUCGUCCACGACGUUCGUCUCCGACCUUCAGUGCAGCCAGCCUCGGCGAAACUGCGUCCUCUACCUCUGGUUCUCCGAGAGCAAGUCUCUGCCAAGCUGCAACGCUUGGAAUCAGCUGAUGUCAUCGAACGAGUCACUGCGUCCGAGUGGAUUUCUCCGCUCAUCGUCGUUCGAUAGAAGGACAAUUCCAUUCGACUUUGCGUCGAUCUUCGAGACCCCAACAAGGCUAUCAUCAUUGGCGCCUUUCCACUACCGAGGGCUGACGAACUGUUGCAUCGACUCGCUGGUGCUACUGUCUUUAUUCCUACUGGUACUCAUCUUCCUGCUGCAACCCCUUCUUUGCAACCACCUGUCUCACCACCACCACCUCCGGGUUCACCCCGUGCAGAACAGUCUCCUGAACGUCCAUGCGACACUCCUCCCCAAGACGCUGCCCCUGAAGGCACUCAGGUCUCUGACACACCUUCCAGUCCCAGUACGAGUAACACUUCUGCUGUUCCUCCUCCACAACCUGAACCAGUCCUCCGUAGGUCUACACGCCAUAGACAACAUCGGGAACGAUUUAAGGAUUAUGUUUCCAAGUAGCUUGUUGCCUUAGGUUACUGUCUACAGAGGUUUCAACCCUCCCAUGCGAAUUCGGCUCUUAAUGGCAAAAGUAUUUCCUUUCAUGUUUGUUAGUUGAAUAAGACAAGCAGUAUCCUGCAAAUGGGAGGAUUUCUGGCAGCAUAAACGGUGCUAUACGCACGCUGUACUUACUGCUAUACUGCAGAUUUAUCAGUGGAUCCUAGUUGUAGGAACACCUUUCUUCAUUUCUUAGCAUCCCCGCAGAAGGGAUACCAUACAUUUCUUAUAUGUUACGUUUCUUGCAGCAUACAUGUAAGCAUUUUCACUACGGUAGUAGCCGCCAUACUAAUUUGUCCUUUAUGCCAAAAAGAAAAAAAGUUUUUCGUUAGCAUUCUUAAGGGGGGGGCACUAAGGAGUGUUAAUUGCUUUUACGCACAAUGCCAAUCCACGACAGCCACAGCGACUGUGUCGACUCAGGCUCAGGGCGAAUGAGCCACCCAUCAGUGCUGUCCCAGGGGGCACACAGAUGGUUGUUAAUGUACACUUAUGUACUUUGUGAAUUUUCUGUGUUAUCCGUGUGUGCAAGGCUGCAUCUCAUCGUCCUCCCAAGACGGGUACUGGAACUGCAGAUCUGGACUGCAAUAACUCAUAUUCAGUAUUCAUGUACGUUUUUUUUUUAAAUGGGGAAGCCAGAGAUCAUUUUCUAUUGUAUAAACAUGUAUCACUAAUCAUGUGUGUAACAGCACUAACAUGUGUUCUUUGACUCGUGACUAAUUUUUGUUGUGAGGAGAGCGAGUGGAUCAUUUUUUUUCCUUUCAAGGGAGAGGUGAUGUGGUAUCCGUAACUUCUGGUUUCGGUUUUGGGUUUUUACAUCAGGGCGCCACUCAGCGCCAAACGCUGUAAGUGCUUCCUGUAAGUUGCCUCCUCAGAAAUAAAGAUUCCAUUCUUUGUCUGGUCCCCAA
This is a long non-coding RNA of Dermacentor albipictus, 3161 nucleotides long. RefSeq lists it as uncharacterized. The record is from RefSeq and is a predicted model, not a curated record. NCBI's taxonomy places the organism in Eukaryota, Metazoa, Arthropoda, Arachnida, Ixodida, Ixodidae.